This 433-nucleotide ribosomal RNA is filed under the name uncultured bacterium. RNAcentral describes it as "partial 16S ribosomal RNA". It matches the Rfam family "Bacterial small subunit ribosomal RNA", at positions 29 to 507 of the family's 1533-position model. The record is from RNAcentral.
AACGAACGCUGGCGGCAUGCCUAACACAUGCAAGUCGAACGAAACCUCCGGGAUUAGUGGCGCAAGCGAGAGUAAAGCGUUGGAACCUGCCCUUAGGUUUGGAAGAACUCCCCGAAGGGGGUGCUAAUACCGGAUAAUGUCUUCGGACCAAAGAUUUAUCGCCUUUGGAUGGGCCCGCGUUGGAUUAGCCAGUUGGUAGGGUAAAAGCCUAUCAAGGCGUCGAUACAUAGCUGGGCAGAGAGGAUGAGCAGCCACACUGAGACUAAGACACGGCCCGGACUCCUACGGGAGGCAGCAGAGGCGAAUACUGGACAAUGGGCUAAAGGCUGAUCCAGCUAGGCCGCGAAAGUGAUGAAGGCCUGAGGGAUGUAAAGCUCUUUUACACGGGAUGAUAAUGACAGUACCAGGAGAAUAAGCUCCGGCUAACUUCGUG